Molecule: ribosomal RNA, 460 nt
Filed under: uncultured bacterium
Lineage: Bacteria
Description: partial 16S ribosomal RNA
Rfam family: Bacterial small subunit ribosomal RNA
Source: RNAcentral
CCUACGGGUGGCUGCAGUGAGGAAUAUUGGUCAAUGGACGCAAGUCUGAACGAGCCAUGCCGCGUGCAGGAUGACGGCUCUAUGAGUUGUAAACUGCUUUUGUACGAGGAUAAACCCCGAUACGUGUAUCGGGUUGAAAGUAUCGUACGAAUAAGGAUCGGCUAACUCCGUGCCAGCAGCGGCGGUAAUACGGAGGGGCGGAGCGUUACCCGGAUUGAUUGGGUUUAAAGGGUGCGUAGGCGGUUCGGUAAGUUAGAGGUGAAAUGUCUGGGCUAAACCCAGAAACUGCUUCUAAUACUGUUGGACUAGAGAAUAGUUGCGGUAGGCGGAAUGUAUGGUGUAGCGGUGAAAUGCUUAGAGAUCAGACAGAACACCGAUUGCGAAGGCAGCUUACCAAACUAUAGCUGACGUUGAGGCACGAAAGCGUGGGUAGCAAACAGGAUUAGAUACCCGAGUAGUC